CCUACGGGAGGCAGCAGUUAGGAAUCUUCCACAAUGGGCGAAAGCCUGAUGGAGCGACGCCGCGUGAGGGAUGAAGGUUUUCGGAUCGUAAACCUCUGAAUCAGGGACGAAAGGCGCUUUAAGCGAGAUGACGGUACCUGAGUAAUAGCACCGGCUAACUCCGUGCCAGCAGCCGCGGUAAUACGGAGGGUGCAAGCGUUACCCGGAAUCACUGGGCGUAAAGGGCGUGUAGGCGGGAUGUUAAGUCUGGCUUUAAAGACCGGGGCUCAACCUCGGGCAUGGGCUGGAUACUGGCAUUCUAGACCUCUGGAGAGAUACUCGGAAUUUCUGGUGUAGCGGUGGAAUGCGUAGAUACCAGAAGGAACACCGAUGGCGAAGGCAGAGUAUUGGACAGAAGGUGACGCUGAGGCGCGAAAGUGUGGGGAGCGAAACCGGAUUAGAUACCCGGGUAGUCCACACCCUAAACGAUGUACGUUGGAUGACAGCAGGAUGNUGUUGUUGUGUAGUAACGACGAUAACGUACCGCCGUAGGAGUACGGCCGCGAGUAGAACGUACAAUAGAAGUAGACGACGUAGAGACGUCGACGACGACGACGACGAGGGAGAGG
Molecule: ribosomal RNA, 608 nt
Filed under: uncultured bacterium
Lineage: Bacteria
Description: bacterial SSU rRNA
Rfam family: Bacterial small subunit ribosomal RNA (bases 1-527)
Source: RNAcentral